This 292-nucleotide ribosomal RNA is filed under the name uncultured bacterium. RNAcentral's name for it is "partial 16S ribosomal RNA". The record is from RNAcentral.
GGACUACCGGGGUAUCUAAUCCUGUUUGCUCCCCACGCUUUCGCGCCUCAGCGUCAGUAUCGGUCCAGAGCGCCGCCUUCGCCACCGGUGUUCUUCCCAAUAUCUACGAAUUUCACCUCUACACUGGGAAUUCCACGCUCCUCUCCCGAUCUCCAGUCCCGCCGUCCCGCGCGCACCUCCCAGGUUGAGCCCGGGGCUUUCACACGCGACUGAGGGGACCGCCUGCGCGCCCUUUACGCCCAGUGAUUCCGAACAACGCUCGCCCCCUUCGUAUUACCGCGGCUGCUGGCAC